This 489-nucleotide ribosomal RNA is filed under the name uncultured Iamia sp. RNAcentral describes it as "partial 16S ribosomal RNA". Lineage: Bacteria; Bacillati; Actinomycetota; Acidimicrobiia; Acidimicrobiales; Iamiaceae. The record is from RNAcentral.
CACGUAGUUAGCCGGGGCUUCUUCUGCAGGUACCGUCUUGAUUCGUCCCUACUGAAAGGGGUUUACAACCCGAAAGCCUUCAUCCCCCACGCGGCGUUGCUGCGUCAGGCUUUCGCCCAUUGCGCAAGAUUCCCCACUGCUGCCUCCCGUAGGAGUCUGGGCCGUGUCUCAGUCCCAGUGUGGCUGAUCGUCCUCUCAGACCAGCUACCCGUCGAUGCCUUGGUGGGCCGUUACCCCACCAACUAGCUGAUAGGCCGCGAGGCCCUCCCGAAGCGGAAUCCAUUUCCUCGUCCGAUCAUGCGAUCAGAAGGGGUAUCCGGUAUUAGCUCUCCUUUCGGAGGGUUAUCCCGGUCUUCGGGGCAGGUUCCUCACGUGUUACUCACCCGUUCGCCACUAGGUCUUCCGAUGUGUUGCCACACCAUGGACCUCGUUCGACUUGCAUGUGUUAGGCACGCCGCCAGCGUUCGUCCUGAGCCAGGAUCAAACUCU